RNAcentral lists this long non-coding RNA (755 nucleotides) under Ananas comosus (pineapple). Its description in RNAcentral is "long non-coding RNA (ACOM_LNC031865)". The record is from RNAcentral. Lineage: Eukaryota; Viridiplantae; Streptophyta; Magnoliopsida; Poales; Bromeliaceae.
AACCGUCCCUAGCACAAGUGGUAAAGGAUUUGGUGGUUGGUAUCCGAGGUUUCAAGUUCGAAGCCUGAAACGGGUAGCUUGGUAUCUUUCUCUUUUAACCCCUAUUUAUCUAAAAAAUUGAUGUGAUAUAAAUGAGUCAAAAAUUUAUGGAUAAUAUCUAAUAUAUCUUUUAAAAUUUUAAAAAUAUCUAAUAUAUAUAUAUAUAGUAUGGCUACUAUACUCUUAUGAGUAUAGAGCCUUUCGUACUCAUAAGUUGUUUUCGAUGUCGACGAUCCACUCUGUUAAAUAUGAUCUAGGGUAUUUGAAACUUCUAGAAAAUAAAUUUCGUAAUUUUUUGAAAUCAUAAUAAAGUCCAUCAAACGGGUAUAAAAUGAACGGUCGAAAUCGAACGACGUCCUAAAAAUGAAUGAUUAGAUCCUUCAAUUUAAGAUCGGAGUUAUUGAUCUUUAUCUACGUAGUGAAUAAAAUUUUCUAUUAAAAAUUCAACCGAUUCUGAUUCUUUUACACCGUUAAACUAACAAAUAUUCCACACCGGCCGUUAAAAAUUGUCAAAUUUUAUGACAUUUUUAUCGUAAGGUAAAUGAUGUCAAAAAAUUAUAAAAUUUAAAUUUUAGAAAUUUUAAAUGCUCUAGAUAAUGUUUAACGGUAUGGAUCGUCGAUUUGGAAGCUCUAUCAUCGAAAGCGAUUUCUGAGUACGAGGGCGAUCGUACUCAUAAGAGUAUAGUAGCCGGACUCUAUAUAUAUAUAUAUAUAUA